RNAcentral lists this long non-coding RNA (466 nucleotides) under Durio zibethinus. RNAcentral's name for it is "long non-coding RNA (DZIB_LNC002278)". Lineage: Eukaryota; Viridiplantae; Streptophyta; Magnoliopsida; Malvales; Malvaceae. The record is from RNAcentral.
UCAUGGCUCUAUACGUAGUUGGCUCAUGAUAACCUAAACCCAAUCAUUGUCCUAUACAAGGUUGGCUCAUGACACUCAGCCUCAGCAACCACACAACUUACACAGCACAGGCAGCAUACAGGAGCGAAAGAGCAACUCGACUAUAAGUAUAAGGAGAGGAGCCACUGAACAACCAAGUGUAGUACGAGGCGGAAGGAAGACACGAGAAUACCCGAUGCUUUACGACUCCAUUCCUCUGUUGGACAAUCUUAUCAACUCAACUUUUGAAAGAGAGAACUAAGUGUUGGGUUAAAAGCCUCCAAUCCAAUCACACCAGCGGAAGUAAAAUCAAACAAUAAGUCAAACACACAAGAGAUAACAAUUUAACGUGAUUCAGUCCAAUUGACCUACGUCCACGGAUGAGAAACAAGAUCCAUUAGUUGUAGAGAAUUACAAACAUACAUCAAAUCAUCAACCUCGUUCAAUA